UUCGCAAUGCCCGAAAGGGUGACGAAGCGACGCCGCGUGCGGGAAGAAGGCCUUCGGGUUGUAAACCGCUGUCGGGAGUUAAGAAAUGCAAGGAUAUUAAUAGUGUCUUUGCUUGACUAAGGCUCCGGAGGAAGCCACGGCUAACUCUGUGCCAGCAGCCGCGGUAAUACAGAGGCGGCAAGCGUUGUUCGGAAUUAUUGGGCGUAAAGAGCACGUAGGCGGCCGUGUAAGUCGGUUGUGAAAGCCUUCCGCUCAACGGGAGAACGGCAUCCGAUACUGCAUGGCUCGAGUGCGGGAGGGGAGAGUGGAACUUCUGGUGGAGCGGUGAAAUGCGUAGAUAUCAGAAGGAACACCGGCGGCGAAGGCGACUCUCUGGCCCGUAACUGACGCUGAGUGUGCGAAAGCUAGGGGAGCAAACGGGAUUAGAUACCCCGGUAGUCCUAGCCGUAAACGAUGGGCACUAAGUAGAGGGGUUUU
RNAcentral lists this ribosomal RNA (477 nucleotides) under uncultured anaerobic ammonium-oxidizing bacterium. Its description in RNAcentral is "bacterial SSU rRNA". It matches the Rfam family "Bacterial small subunit ribosomal RNA", at positions 365 to 832 of the family's 1533-position model. The record is from RNAcentral.